Molecule: ribosomal RNA, 505 nt
Filed under: uncultured bacterium
Lineage: Bacteria
Description: partial 16S ribosomal RNA
Rfam family: Bacterial small subunit ribosomal RNA
Source: RNAcentral
GACGAACGCUGGCGGCGUGCCUAAUACAUGCAAGUAGAACGCACAGUUUAUACCGUAGCUUGCUACACCAUAGACUGUGAGUUGCGAACGGGUGAGUAACGCGUAGGUAACCUGCCUGGUAGCGGGGGAUAACUAUUGGAAACGAUAGCUAAUACCGCAUAAUAUUAAUUAUUGCAUGAUAAUUAAUUGAAAGGUGCAAUUGCACCACUACCAGAUGGACCUGCGUUGUAUUGGCUAGUAGGUGAGGUAACGGCUCACCUAGGCGACGAUACAUAGCCGACCUGAGAGGGUGAUCGGCCACACUGGGACUGAGACACGGCCCAGACUCCUACGGGAGGCAGCAGUAGGGAAUCUUCGGCAAUGGACGAAAGUCUGACCGAGCAACGCCGCGUGAGUGAAGAAGGCUUUCGGAUCGUAAAGCUCGGUUGUAAGAGAAGAACGGGUGUGAGAGUGGAAAGUUCACACUGUGACGGUAUCUUACCAGAAAGGGACGGCUAACUACGUG